AUACUAAAUUUACAAAUUAAGUUUGUUUACAUUUAUUGGUGUAUGAUGAUUAUUUAGUCGUAGUUCUUGGAUUGGAUUCAAUUGUUGUAUGACAAAAAUCGAAGUGAGCGGCACAAAACUGAGAAAAUUGGUCAUACCCGCUCCUUCAAAAACUAUGUUCAAAUAUAAAGGACUUGUAUUGAUAGUGCUCCUUAUCAACAGUAUUGAGGCUGACAUUCCAGGAUGCGAUUAUUUUGAUACAGUAAAAUUAUUGUCAAGCCAAAAGCUGGCAAAUGGAUCGUAUCAAUAUGAGAACAUCAUUAUUCCCCCAGAACAAACUGGGGAAUAUGAUUACGAGAUUCUUCAGGAUGGAGACAGAGAGGAAGUAGAAAAACAUCUGCGUGGAUGUGCCUGUCACUUGGGCACCUGCAUAAGAUUCUGUUGCCAGAAGAAUGCUCUGCUCGUGGAUGAUGAACGUAAGUGCAGCGAAGAUAUUACAGCAGAGUUGCAGUACGAUCCCAUGGUGAACAUAACGCUAAACAAUGGCACAGUGGUCAGAAGACAUGUACUUAAUGAGUUCAUAGUUCAGCAUGAUUUGCCAGUCCCCUGCAGUGCUCACUUUCAUCUGGAUGCUUUGAAUGAAGCCAACGCAGGCUGGACAUUGUUUGAGAAUGGAACUCUAUUGAGGCACUAUGGUUCAAAGAGUCUGAGCAAACAGGAUUAUUGUCUGCAACCUCAUCAAAUAAGGGAUCCUAUCACAAAUGGCACAAUUAUCAGCCUGGUCCCGCACAAUUGCUUCGACAAACAACGAAGUCAAACGGUUUUUUAAUCUACUUCGUAUUCUUUCGAUGAUCUUUUUGGUACUAACUAUUAUCGUUUAUCUUUCCUUUGAUAAACUUCGAAAUCUGCAUGGAUUGUGUUUCGUAAAUUAUAUGAUUUGCAUCUUUAUGGUAUUUGCCGCUCUAAUGCUCGAAUCGAAAGUUAGGAUGUCUCUCAGACCUUGUCAGCUGAUUGGCUAUUUGGGAUAUUUCGCUGUUAUGGCCGGAUUCAACUGGUUAACUGUGAUCAGCUAUGAUCUGUGGAUCAGUUUCAAGAGUAACAAUUACAAUGUUGAACGCAAAGCUUGGAAAAUGUUAUUCUACAA
Drosophila sulfurigaster albostrigata is the source of this 1123-nucleotide RNA transcript. It is a transcript of the gene named G-protein coupled receptor Mth-like, with no coding region annotated. Lineage: Eukaryota; Metazoa; Arthropoda; Insecta; Diptera; Drosophilidae. The record is from RefSeq and is a predicted model, not a curated record. The transcript has 5 exons.